Molecule: non-coding RNA, 737 nt
Organism: Doryrhamphus excisus (bluestripe pipefish)
Lineage: Eukaryota; Metazoa; Chordata; Actinopteri; Syngnathiformes; Syngnathidae
Source: RefSeq, a predicted model, not a curated record
UGUGGUACCUGCAGUUUGCUGCUCCGAAGCCCGCCGCUUGCUUUCCCCAUCCAUGUAGGAGCUGAGUGCCCUAGAGAAGUGCUCGUCUACCACAGUGCUGAUGUCCCCCUGGUAGUAGGUGAAGAGGACGCAGCGGGAUGUCAGGUACUCGGCCUCGGGGCCCUCCUGCUUGUCCUUGGGACCACCCUCGUCUGGCCGUGGAGCUGCCGAUGUGUAGGAGGAUGAAGACGAGGAGGAAGAGGAGGAGGAAGCCGACGAAGAGGAUGAGGUUGUGGAUCCGCCAACGGUGCCCUGGCCCCCGGACAUCCCUUCUGGACCCCUAGGAGUGUCCAUAAAGUCCCGACACAGAGUUAUGUGACAUAACCGAGAUGAAUUGAGAUCUAUCGGUGUGGAAAAGCUUAUAAGCAAUUUCUAAAGCUUUGGGACUCCAACAAACCACAGUGAGAGCCAUUAUCCACACAUGGCGAAAACAGGGAACAAUGGUGAAUCUUCCCAGGAGUGGCCGGCCAACCAAAUUAACCCCAAGAGCGCAACAACGAUCCUCCGAGAGGUCACAAAAGGUCCCACAACAACAUCCAAAGAACUGCAGGACUCACUUGCCUCAAUUUAGAAAACAUCCUGAUGAUCCCCAAGACCUUGGGAAAAUACUCUGUGGUCUGACGAGACAAAAGGGGUGUCUCAACUACCACCGAGGUCCAUAUACUAAAAAAUGAAAGGAUGCAACGGUCACUUACAAA